Molecule: ribosomal RNA, 945 nt
Filed under: Triticum aestivum (bread wheat)
Lineage: Eukaryota; Viridiplantae; Streptophyta; Magnoliopsida; Poales; Poaceae
Description: partial small subunit ribosomal RNA
Source: RNAcentral
AUGGACUUGCCGCCGCCGCAAGUCAUGUCAAUAGAAGGCCAGCAGGAUGACGCGGUCGCCGAUGGUCGUGGAGCCGGCGGAGAGCAAACACUAGAGGUGCACCGGUCUCCCGGCUCAAAUUUGAAGGAAAAAUCAUCUUUCGCAUUGCAUUGUGCUAAUAUAAAAUUUAACUGUGAACUCUGUGCAUCACAGGUUAAUAAUGACGGGCAAACGUUGGUUGUUCCUGAAGUUGGAAAGACUUACGAUUCAGAGGAAGCUGCUUAUGACAUGUACAACACAUAUGCCGGCAAAGUUGGAUUUAGUAUUAGAAAGAACCAGACAAAGCGUCGACAUGAUGGUAGCAUAUAUCAAAAAUAUAUAGUUUGCAGUAACGAAGGUCAUCGAGAAACCGUGUCGUCGAAGGACACUACAAGGACGGGUUGCAAUGCCCGUAUUCAGUUUAGUGUUAGCAGAGAAGGGCUUUGGACGGUGCAAAAGGUUGUAACCGAUCAUAAUCAUUAUCUUGCUAGUCCCAAUAAGGUGCACAAACUGAGGUCCCAACGACAUGUUAUAGAGGCGGACAGACAUCUAAUUGGCCAAAUACGGGAAGCCGGGAUGAAGCCAUCCCAGGUGGAAUACUUCAUGGUAGAGUUUUACGGAGGACCGGACAAAGUGCCAUUCUCAAAGAUGGAUUGCAAUAACGAGAUUGUUCGUGAGCGCAAAAAAUACUUAGAAUCAAAUGAUUCACAAACACUUUUGGAAUACUUGAAAAAUAAGCAGAGAGAGGAUCCAACAUUUUUUUAUGCCAUUCAGGUAGAUGAGAAAGAUCGUCGGAUUGCUAAUUUCUUUUGGGCAGAUGGCCAGUCUAUCAUGGAUUACGCAUGUUUUGGAGAUGUUGUAUCAUUUGACACUACCAAAUGCCUUUUGCUCCAAUCCUUGGAACCAACCAUCACAAGCAGACUAUAA